This 136-nucleotide ribosomal RNA is filed under the name uncultured bacterium. RNAcentral describes it as "partial 16S ribosomal RNA". It matches the Rfam family "Bacterial small subunit ribosomal RNA", at positions 355 to 509 of the family's 1533-position model. The record is from RNAcentral.
UGGGGAAUAUUGCACAAUGGGGGAAACCCUGAUGCAGCGACGCCGCGUGAAGGAAGAAGUAUCUCGGUAUGUAAACUUCUAUCAGCAGGGAAGAUAGUGACGGUACCUGACUAAGAAGCCCGGCUAACUACGUGCC